RNAcentral lists this unclassified non-coding RNA (796 nucleotides) under Hevea brasiliensis (rubber tree). The record is from RNAcentral. Lineage: Eukaryota; Viridiplantae; Streptophyta; Magnoliopsida; Malpighiales; Euphorbiaceae.
AAGAAAUUCACAUACAGCACAAAAAAUUGCUACGCUUGAUUGACUUGCACAUUUUAUCAUUCAAAAAUGAAACUUAUCUGAUCGCACAACAGAAAAUUGCUAUUGCUGUUGUAUUUUAAAUGUGUCAUCAUGAAUCAAUAGAUAAGAGCAAAAUUGACACAUGAAGUAGGCAAAGCUUCAAAUUUAUAUGGUACAGACAAUAUAUAAGCAACUCCAUAAAGAGAGAAAACCUGAAUCUGCAAUUAAAAAUAAUUCAAGUUGUUGAAAGAUUCAAUGUAAUCUCAAUCUUAGAGAGGCUGUACUAAAGUGGAUAAAGUCUAAAAAUUAAAAGCACAAGCAAAAACCAAUGAAAGCAAUCAAGGGAAAUAAUUGUAAGAUUUAAAAAAGGCUCUUUGAGUGGUGUUUCACAAUUAAAAGAGCUACAUUCUGCUAAAAGUUUAAUUUAAGCUUCUCCUUAGUACUCCACAAAACUGUCCCAAAGAGUUGAAGAAGCAGACAACAUCACACCAAGAAAACUAGCAGAUCGGACACAAACCACAAUAGACACAUAUGAGCUUCAAUGGGGAUGGAUUAAUUGCUCUUUCUCCCAGUAAAUUAUGGAAAUUUGACUAAAAAAAAAGAUUCACAUUGCUAAACUAGUACAAACAGAUUCAGUUUUUCACAACAUAUAGAUGAACAGAAAAUUUUAUUUUUUUAUUAAAUAAAAGAAAAUAAAAAGAUCAGUAACAGUAGGCAGUGGCAGCACAUUAAUUCAAAGAGGAAAAUUAUCAUGCCUUUGACAUGGAGCACCGGAGAA